Molecule: long non-coding RNA, 268 nt
Organism: Hippocampus comes (tiger tail seahorse)
Lineage: Eukaryota; Metazoa; Chordata; Actinopteri; Syngnathiformes; Syngnathidae
Exons: 3
Source: RefSeq, a predicted model, not a curated record
UGUUUAGUGUGCCCCCCACUGGCCAGAUAUAGCUACUGCAUUCAGAGAUGUGCACUCCUUGAUUGGGUCAAAGGUUAAAAGCAAGAUGGCCGCCUUAAGUCAGGUGUGUGGACAAUGAGCUCGGCAUGCAAGCAAGCCUCUCUGGUUAGCUCGUCUCCUGACCUCCUCGCCUGAACAAACAAAUGCGAUAACUGGGCAGAUUUGAGCAUUUUUCGCAUCUUCAAACUCAGCCAGGACCCGACGAACGGUCAUCUCUCAACGAUUAUCC